AGAGUUUGAUCCUGGCUCAGGAUGAACGCUAGCGGCAGGCUUAACACAUGCAAGUCGAGGGGCAGCGGGGAGGAAGCUUGCUUUCUCCGCCGGCGACCGGCGCACGGGUGAGUAACACGUAUGCAAUCUGCCCCUGUCAGGGGGACAACCCGCCGAAAGGCGGGCUAAACCCGCGUACAUGCCACCGGGGCAUCCCGGAGGCAGGAAAGGCUUCGGCCGGACAGGGAUGGGCAUGCGGCGCAUUAGGCAGUAGGCGGGGUAACGGCCCACCUAACCGACGAUGCGUAGGGGUUCUGAGAGGAGGGUCCCCCACACUGGUACUGAGACACGGACCAGACUCCUACGGGAGGCAGCAGUGAGGAAUAUUGGUCAAUGGUCGGGAGACUGAACCAGCCAAGCCGCGUGAGGGAGGAAGGUACAGAGUAUCGUAAACCUCUUUUGUCAGGGAACAAAGGCGGGGACGUGUCCCCGGAUGAGUGUACCUGAAGAAAAAGCAUCGGCUAACUCCGUGCCAGCAGCCGCGGUAAUACGGAGGAUGCGAGCGUUAUCCGGAUUUAUUGGGUUUAAAGGGUGCGCAGGCGGAGGUGCAAGUCAGCGGUCAAAUUGCGGGGCUCAACCCCGUACUGCCGUUGAAACUGCAUCCCUUGAGUGCGCGAGAAGUAUGCGGAAUGCGUGGUGUAGCGGUGAAAUGCAUAGAUAUCACGCAGAACUCCGAUUGCGAAGGCAGCAUACCGGCGCGCAACUGACGCUCAUGCACGAAAGCGUGGGUAUCGAACAGGAUUAGAUACCCUGGUAGUCCACGCAGUAAACGAUGAACACUAACUGUUCGGCCAAAGGGAUGGCUGAGUGGUACAGCGAAAGCGUUAAGUGUUCCACCUGGGGAGUACGCCGGCAACGGUGAAACUCAAAGGAAUUGACGGGGGCCCGCACAAGCGGAGGAACAUGUGGUUUAAUUCGAUGAUACGCGAGGAACCUUACCCGGGCUCAAACGACACAGGCAUACUUUUGAAAGGAGGUAGCCCUUCGGGGUCUGUGUCGAGGUGCUGCAUGGUUGUCGUCAGCUCGUGCCGUGAGGUGUCGGCUUAAGUGCCAUAACGAGCGCAACCCCUAUCGCCAGUUGCCAUCAAGUAAAGUUGGGGACUCUGGCGAGACUGCCGGCGCAAGCUGUGAGGAAGGCGGGGAUGACGUCAAAUCAGCACAGCCCUUACGUCCGGGGCGACACACGUGUUACAAUGGCAGGUACAGAGAGAAGCCAGGUGGCGACACCGCGCGGAACUCGAAGGCCUGUCUCAGUUCGGAUCGGAGUCUGCAACCCGACUCCGUGAAGCUGGAUUCGCUAGUAAUCGCGCAUCAGCCAUGGCGCGGUGAAUACGUAACCGGGCCUUGCACACACCGCCCGUCA
This 1402-nucleotide ribosomal RNA is filed under the name uncultured bacterium. RNAcentral describes it as "16S ribosomal RNA". It matches the Rfam family "Bacterial small subunit ribosomal RNA". The record is from RNAcentral.